AAACGUAAUGAAAGCAAACUACCGGAUUUGAAGAAAGCAAAUGCUUGUUUUAAGCACUUUUUCCAAAAUAAACAUCAACAACAUGCUUUGGAACGUUGAAUCCAAGUAAGGAAAGUGCCCACAUUAUAAAAAACAUUGGUAUGGGAAGAAGAAGGGCGUGAGUAUUUUUUAAGAAAGGAAGAACUAUCAUUAUGUUAGUGAAAUUUCUAGUAAUCAUCAUUAUAGACAUCGUCAUAAAAAGAGCUAAACGAUGAUAGAAAAACAAAAUUGGCCUACUUUGAUAUCCAAUAAAUGUUAAAUAUGAGUAAUAACAUAGAGCAACUAAAUAAAGCGUAUUUCCCAUGAAUAAUGAAAUGCUAGAAAAAGUUAAUAUAGGAAGAAA
Non-coding RNA from Schizosaccharomyces pombe (fission yeast), 382 nucleotides. NCBI's taxonomy places the organism in Eukaryota, Fungi, Ascomycota, Schizosaccharomycetes, Schizosaccharomycetales, Schizosaccharomycetaceae. The record is from the annotation of a GenBank genome assembly.